RNAcentral lists this small RNA (118 nucleotides) under Caenorhabditis elegans. Its description in RNAcentral is "Unclassified non-coding RNA T26A5.12". The record is from RNAcentral. Lineage: Eukaryota; Metazoa; Nematoda; Chromadorea; Rhabditida; Rhabditidae.
GGUCACAAUUUAAAGAUCAUUGAAUGUUUUUUAAGAACAGGAUGGGAUUUAUCCAGACUUGAAUAGCAGGAUGGCGACCUGUCCAAGGUAGAAGUAGAUAAAGUGCUUAGUCUCGUGG